This 494-nucleotide ribosomal RNA is filed under the name uncultured bacterium. Its description in RNAcentral is "partial 16S ribosomal RNA". It matches the Rfam family "Bacterial small subunit ribosomal RNA", at positions 28 to 507 of the family's 1533-position model. The record is from RNAcentral.
GACGAACGCUGGCGGCGUGCUUAACACAUGCAAGUCGAACGGAAAGGCCUGCUUUCCCUUGUGGAUUGCGGGUACUCGAGUGGCGAACGGGUGAGUAACACGUGAGUGAUCUGCCCCCAACUUGGGUAUAAGCCUGGGAAACUGGGUCUAAUUCCCGAUAGGACUGCAGGGUGGUGCCUGUGGUGGAAAACGAUUUUCUAGUGGUUGGGGAUGAGCUCGCGGCCUAUCAGCUUGUUGGUGGGGGAAUGGCCUACCAAGGCGGCGACGGGUAGCCGGCCUGGGAGGGUGGACGGCCACAUUGGGACUGAGAUACGGCCCCGACUCCUACGGGCGGCAGCAGUGGGGAAUAUUGCACAAGGGGCGGAAGCCUGAUGCAGCGACGCCGCGUGGGGGAUGACGGCCUUCGGGUUGUAAACUCCUUUCGACCGCGAGGAAGCCACCUGGUUGGAAGGGUGGUGACGGUAGUGGUAGAAGAAGCACCGGCUAACUACGUG